RNAcentral lists this transfer-messenger RNA (397 nucleotides) under Schleiferiaceae bacterium. It matches the Rfam family "transfer-messenger RNA". From Rfam's summary of the family: Bacterial tmRNA, also known as 10Sa RNA or SsrA, is named for its dual tRNA and mRNA-like properties. Lineage: Bacteria; Pseudomonadati; Bacteroidota; Flavobacteriia; Flavobacteriales; Schleiferiaceae. The record is from RNAcentral.
GGGGCUGACCGGUUUUGACAGCAAGACGAAGAAGUGUGUAAGCAUGCCGAGCUAUCCAGUUGAAUGCUCGUAAAUACAAUGCUGGAAUCUUCAAUUGGCGAGUCUAACUACGCUCUUGCCGCUUAAUCUACAGUUUGUAGAUUAAGCUUGUCCCGCACCAGGUGCGGGAGCAGGACAUCCCCCGGAAUCCCUGACCUGCGGAGUCCGAUCAGGGGGUGCUGGAAAUGCAGGAAUAGGAACGGCCGGGGCGCUCGGCUGUUUUGAAAACUUUAGCGUCUAAGCGACCGGUAGCGCGUGCCCCCGCGGCCGGCCGACGAAAAAUAAUGGGUCACUAAGCAUGUAGAAAGCCCUCGGCUUCCUUGUUUGGACGCGGGUUCGAUUCCCGCCAGCUCCACUA